UUGCUUCGUUUGGCAGCACAUAUACUAAAAUUGGAAGGAUACUGAGAAGAAUAGCAUGGCCUCUGUGCAAGGAUGACAGGCAAAUUCAUAAAGCAUUCCAUAUAAAA
Molecule: small nuclear RNA, 107 nt
Organism: Cebus imitator (Panamanian white-faced capuchin)
Lineage: Eukaryota; Metazoa; Chordata; Mammalia; Primates; Cebidae
Source: Ensembl